Limulus polyphemus (Atlantic horseshoe crab) is the source of this 357-nucleotide long non-coding RNA. RefSeq lists it as uncharacterized. The transcript is spliced from 3 exons. Lineage: Eukaryota; Metazoa; Arthropoda; Merostomata; Xiphosura; Limulidae. The record is from RefSeq and is a predicted model, not a curated record.
GUAACGAUAUGUGAAAGCUGUACAGGUUGAAGUGUGUAACGAUAUGUAAAAGCUGUACAGAUUGAAGUGUGUAACGAUAUGUAAAAGCUGUACAGGUUGAAGUGUGUAACGAUAUGUAAAAGCUGUACAGGUUAAAGUGUGUAACGAUAUGUAAAAGCUGUAGAGGUUGAAGUGUGUAACGAUAUGUAAAAGCUGUACAGGUUAAAGUGUGUAAUGAUAUGUAAAAGCUGUACAGGUUAAAGUGUGUAACGAUAUGUAAAAGCUGUAGAGGUUGAAGUGUGUAACGAUAUGUAAAAGCUGUACAGGUUAAAGUGUGUAACGAUAUGUAAAAGCUGUACAGGUUGAAGUGUGUAACGA